Long non-coding RNA from Capsicum annuum, 1549 nucleotides. RefSeq lists it as uncharacterized. Lineage: Eukaryota; Viridiplantae; Streptophyta; Magnoliopsida; Solanales; Solanaceae. The transcript has 2 exons. The record is from RefSeq and is a predicted model, not a curated record.
AUUUCGCACUUUCACGAGAGUAUAAUAAAGCACUUGCUCAAAAUGGAGAGGAGCAACUUAACAUCAAGAAUAUGAGCAAAAUGCAAGUCAUCGUUGCAUUUCUAACCCCAAAGAAACUAAAAGCUCAUUCGAUUGUUUAUCCUUUCUUCUCUAUUGUUUCUUUGCAUCCUACAGCUUUCAGCAAAAAACAACAUAAAGAUCCAGAAAAAUUAGAUUUUCUUUAUAAAUUUUACAAUUCAAUAAUCAGCGUCAAAAUCUUCACUAUUAUUAUAGUAUCCAGUUCCAUCACAUCCAUAAUAUGAAUCAUCAUCAUUAUCUCUAUACGAGUAAUCAUCGUCCACAUAUUCAUUCUCCUGUUCAAGCUCGUGGAAUCCAUUUUCCAGGUUUUCAGCUGAAUCACCAGUUGCGCAGGCCUUAGGUUCCGGUCCUCCUACCUCUGCCUCUACAGGAACAUGCUUCUGCAACACAAUUCAAAGAACCAAGUGGAUUAAGCACAAUACUGGACAAGUGAGCUAAAGCACAAGGAGAGCGCAGUAGAAAGGUAUACCAAUUCAUCAACCAGCUUCUGCAAAGCAUUAUAAUUUAUUUUCGCACUUGUUCUCUGCAAAUAUUUGAAUUGUAUUAGUAUAACUAGCACAUUCUACCAUCUAAAACAACAUCGAAUGACCAAAACGGAUGUAUAGCUGGAAUAUGCGCACCUUGUUCUCUACUUUUUCCGUUGUUUUAGCAGGUUUAUUAGCAUGGACAUCUUUUUUACCUCCAAUUUCCCGUUUUCGUUUCUUCCCAUGUAAUUUAUAAUCUCCCUGAGAAAAAUAGCAAGUUGAACUAUCUGUGAUACAACUUCACAUAGAUGGGUCAUUAGUAGAUCAAUAGAGGAGUUGUACAUUUAAGAAGACAGACUAAUGUAGUACUAGUUAUCAAAUGAAAAAUGGAGAGGAGAGAGUGAAGUCACUGAUCAGGAAAUGGCAUAUCUGCAUAUGAAAGAUCUGAUUAUAACGCCAUUCCAUUUUCUUUUCUUUCAUUUGCACUGGAACCACUGAUUUCAUUAAAUGCCGAUUCCUAUCUAAUGGAUUUCUGUCUAUCUAAUAAAAAUGGUGAGGAGAGAGUGCAUCACCGCAUAUGAAUAAACUGUCAGCAACCUAAGUUUAGGCUACUAAAGCACCUUUCAGCCACAUCCGACUCGGAGAGCGAGAUGGAGAGAGCGGUCAGCAGCAAUGCACAUUUAUUAAGGUGGGAAGACUACCAGCAGGAAACAAGAUAACGAGGGUAAUGCAUAUGGAUGAACUGAUAUGUCAUGACACCACAAAAAACACGGAAGAUACUCUGUCGUCUAUAUUGUAAAACAGACUUGAACAAGCAGAAAGGCAUUUGCUCUUUAAGAAAACUGCCAAUUAUUUCAGCCAAAAUUCUCUAGAGUUGGAACUAUCAUGUAGAAGAGCAGAUGGAAGAAGGCAAUACCUUUGCGAAGUUUUUAUUCAUUUUUUCCCAUAUGAUCUUCUUGUAAUUAAUCUCCUUCGUGUUAUUGAGAUAUCCAACAACCUUUGCCACA